RNAcentral lists this ribosomal RNA (468 nucleotides) under uncultured bacterium. RNAcentral describes it as "bacterial SSU rRNA". It matches the Rfam family "Bacterial small subunit ribosomal RNA", at positions 337 to 796 of the family's 1533-position model. The record is from RNAcentral.
UCCUACGGGUGGCAGCAGUGAGGAAUCUUGGGCAAUGGGCGAAAGCCUGACCCAGCGACGCCGCGUGGAGGAAGAAGGCCUUCGGGUCGUAAACUCCUGUUCGGGGAGAAGAACAGGAGAGGAGUGAAUAACUUCUCUCCCUGACGGUAUCCCCGGAGAAAGCUCCGGCUAAUUACGUGCCAGCAGCCGCGGUAAUACGUAAGGAGCGAGCGUUGUCCGGAUUUACUGGGCGUAAAGAGCUCGUAGGUGGUUUCUUAGGUCUCACGUGAAAUUCCCUGGCUCAACGGGGGAGGGUCGUGGGAAACCGAGAAGCUAGAGGGCAGGAGAGGAGAGUGGAAUUCCCGGUGUAGCGGUGAAAUGCGUAGAGAUCGGGAGGAACACCAGUGGUGAAGACGGCUCUCUGGACUGUCCCUGACACUGAGGAGCGAAAGCCAGGGGAGCAAACCGGAUUAGAUACCCGAGUAGUCC